CAGUAGCCGCGGUAAUACCGAGGGUGCGAGCGUUAAUCGGAUUUACUGGGCGUAAAGCGUGCGUAGGCGGCUUUUUAAGUCGGAUGUGAAAUCCCUGAGCUUAACUUAGGAAUUGCAUUCGAUACUGGGAAGCUAGAGUAUGGGAGAGGAUGGUAGAAUUCCAGGUGUAGCGGUGAAAUGCGUAGAGAUCUGGAGGAAUACCGAUGGCGAAGGCAGCCAUCUGGCCUAAUACUGACGCUGAGGUACGAAAGCAUGGGGAGCAAACAGGAUUAGAUACCCGAGUAGUCCCUGUCUCUUAUAC
RNAcentral lists this ribosomal RNA (301 nucleotides) under uncultured bacterium. Its description in RNAcentral is "partial 16S ribosomal RNA". It matches the Rfam family "Bacterial small subunit ribosomal RNA", at positions 509 to 807 of the family's 1533-position model. The record is from RNAcentral.